Molecule: ribosomal RNA, 290 nt
Filed under: uncultured bacterium
Lineage: Bacteria
Description: partial 16S ribosomal RNA
Rfam family: Bacterial small subunit ribosomal RNA
Source: RNAcentral
GUGGAUUAGAUACCCUGGUAGUCCACGCUGUAAACGAUGGGCACUAGGUGUCCGGGGUAUUGACCCCCUGGGUGCCGCAGCUAACGCAUUAAGUGCCCCGCCUGGGGAGUACGGUCGCAAGAUUAAAACUCAAAGGAAUUGACGGGGGCCCGCACAAGCGGUGGAGCAUGUGGUUCAAUUCGACGCAACGCGAAGAACCUUACCUGGGCUAGACAACAGUGGACCGUCCUAGAAAUAGGAUUUUCCCUUCGGGGACCGCUGGUUCAGGUGCUGCACGGCCGUCGCCAACU